AGUGCAUCUUUUAAAAAUAGAGCUCAAAUUAAAUGGGAAAGCUUAAUGGGACAAGUAAUGACACAUGCUACCACUUAAAAAAAAAAAACACACAUUUUCUGACACGGAGGCCAAAGAGCCCAGAAAACGACCUACCUCAACAUCGUAUUGGGGGGCACACCUGUUAAUACUCCAGAGCGGAAUGGCAAAUGCCAUUGUGGGGCGCAGGCCUGCUAUACUUAAUAAGCUCAAGUUCCCCACUCCGAUUACAUUUUUAAAAAAGUAUUCCUCGUCCUAACAACUUGAUUAAAUUAUUGAGAAGGGAAUCCCGGCUAUGUGUCCACGAAGCUCCCGUGCGAUGAACCCGAUCGGCAAGCUUCCACUGAGCUUCUCAUCAGCUUCGCGCUCGAAGGCAGCCACUGAGCACAUGUGCCGGCUGCUGCGACACUUCACGCCACCGCGAGUUCCUUCCAGUCCACGCACACGUGUGUCUCCUCCACGGAAUCAGACUGACCCGUGUCCUGCCAAACCCCAAGCCCUCUACCUCUGAAUCACAGAGGAGGGCUUUCCUGGACCCAGCACGCUCCUGAAAUCUCCUUCCCCCCGUCCCCCCUGGCCCGUCGCUCCCCGAGAAUGAGUGCUGUUCCCGACUUCCGUGGGAACACUGGUCACCGAACGCUCGUCUGACUUGAUAGCCGGGGCGGCAGCACCCGAGAGAAGCCGUGGUCACCGCCCUGGAGCGUGAGGCAAGCUCGGCCUGGCUCUCAGGCAACAGCGGAGCGGCCGGAGAGGAACACCGUGGCCCCAAAGAGCCACCAGGAGCCCGGCCACAGCCGCUCCGAAGCCAGACACCUCACUCCCUCUCUCUCCUGGUGGGCGAGCCAGGCCCCUACGGUACAGAAAAGACUAAAAAAGCCCACAACCAGUGCUCUUCUCGGAUUUUAACUCACCCUCCGAAUAAACAUGUAAUUCUUGCCUGGAAAAUA
Long non-coding RNA from Myotis brandtii (Brandt's bat), 965 nucleotides. RefSeq lists it as uncharacterized. The record is from RefSeq and is a predicted model, not a curated record. The transcript is spliced from 2 exons. Lineage: Eukaryota; Metazoa; Chordata; Mammalia; Chiroptera; Vespertilionidae.